Molecule: long non-coding RNA, 1152 nt
Organism: Phymastichus coffea
Lineage: Eukaryota; Metazoa; Arthropoda; Insecta; Hymenoptera; Eulophidae
Exons: 4
Source: RefSeq, a predicted model, not a curated record
AUCAUAACCACCAUAACUAUCAUCGCUUGAAUCUGUUUCAAACAAAACAACAAAAUCACCGUAAUCUUCCUCUUCCUCAUCAAACACCAUACCGUGAUACAACAUAUUAAAGCAUUUAGAAUUUGGAUCACGAUAAUGAAGCACGUCAUUUUAUUACAGCCAUCUGAUUUCUAAAAAGACAAAUUGCUUUUUAGAUUGUAGUAAUAAAUUAUUUCGUGAAUAACAGAAUACAAUAAAAAGAAAAUGUUUCUGACCUCAAUAGCUGCAUCGCAUUUAGGACAGUUUUGACUAUUUCUAUCUAUCCAAUUUUCAGACAUAGUAUUUUCGACAAGAGUUUGUAAUUGCUUUUUACCGUAACGUAACUCUAGCUCAGCUUUCCUUUCAUCUGAAGCAUCUACAUAUUCCUUAACAAGAUUUUGUUUUUCAGCUGCGAAAAAAAUUAGAAAAUUUAAUAAUUGAAUUAAAAUUAGGAUCAUUUUAUAUAUCAAUCAAAUAAUGAAUACCUGUGUUAGUUUUACAUGGCUCAAUUCCAUGAUACACAGCUUUACAGAAAAUACAAAAUGCAUACUGACAAACAGGGCAGUGAGCCAUUGUUUCAUCUGGUUCUCUGCUUACUGGAUACUGACAACUUUUACGAGGACAAUAAAUUAUGUCAGUCAUGGUAUCCAAAGUUGUGUUCAGUAAUAUGGAAUCAUAUUUCGAAAAUAACUCAGAGUUUCAGAUUGGAGGAAACCAAUCCAUGUAAACAAUACCUCUUGACCUUUAUUGUUCUCCCACAGUUUAUCUAAUUUCUUACAAAGUUUGGAUAUGGAAGAUGGAUUUAACCAUGAAGACCUAAGUGUAAACUUUGGCGAUGAAAUUGAUGGAUAAUCUGCUGGCAAUGUAACUAAUAAUGUUAACGGUGGUAGACGCAUCGAUAUCGUUACAUUACCAAUAGAUAGUGCGCGCAAGACAAGAUUAUAUGCACCGCAUCGUAAUGUCAUAAAGAGGAAUUAACGUGCUUCCGUGAGAUUUUACGGAGACCCUAAUGAUUGUUGAAAUUUCAUUGCCUAAGACUUACACUUGGUAAAUGCACCUAUCAUGUGAAGAUGAUCGCACGAUAAAAUUAUCGUCAGUGCGUUGUCGAUGGAUGUUGAGGUUAUAACAAUUAAA